This 217-nucleotide long non-coding RNA is filed under the name Panax ginseng (ginseng). Its description in RNAcentral is "long non-coding RNA (PGIN_LNC002462)". The record is from RNAcentral. Lineage: Eukaryota; Viridiplantae; Streptophyta; Magnoliopsida; Apiales; Araliaceae.
AACUAAUAAAAUUGACAAGUAAAGGAAAGCUAAAUCAUCCUGAAUUCUCCAUGGAGUCCUCUUGAGAGUCGUCAUCAUCUAUGUUGUCAUUCUCAGCAUGCGUGGUUGAGUUAUUCGUUGGAAUAUUUGCUGAUGCAUUUGAUGAAGCAAAUAAAUCAUUUGGGUCUAUAAGAGGAUCAAGUGCAAGUGUUUCGGCCAUAUUCUUUGCAUAUUGAUG